This 233-nucleotide long non-coding RNA is filed under the name Homo sapiens (human). RNAcentral's name for it is "non-protein coding lnc-PFKP-16:1". Lineage: Eukaryota; Metazoa; Chordata; Mammalia; Primates; Hominidae. The record is from RNAcentral.
GCAGAAUUUGGGGGAACAGGACUCUAGACUGCCUCUAGAGAGAGCUGUAUUGAAGGCCCUGCGACCCAGCACAGAGAAGGGAAUGGUGCUCUAGGUCCCUGCCUCUGCAGAAGACAAAUCCAGGAAGAGAACCAGGAAACUGCAGAGUAGCCAGCCACAUGCGAGAAAAAUCUGAAGGAGACGAAAAUGUUUCAGGAGAAAGAGGUAUAAUUUGCAGUGAAGUGCACAAAUCA